This 73-nucleotide transfer RNA is filed under the name Stegodyphus mimosarum. It matches the Rfam family "tRNA". Rfam says of the family: Transfer RNA (tRNA) molecules are approximately 80 nucleotides in length. Their secondary structure includes four short double-helical elements and three loops (D, anti-codon, and T loops). Lineage: Eukaryota; Metazoa; Arthropoda; Arachnida; Araneae; Eresidae. The record is from Rfam by way of RNAcentral.
GCCUUCAUGGUGCAGUGGUCAGCAUGCUGGGCGCCUAUUCCAGAAAUCCGUGGUUCGAGUCCCAGUGAAGGCA